This 351-nucleotide long non-coding RNA is filed under the name Anser brachyrhynchus (Pink-footed goose). RNAcentral's name for it is "lncRNA (ENSABRG00000007361.1)". The record is from RNAcentral. Lineage: Eukaryota; Metazoa; Chordata; Aves; Anseriformes; Anatidae.
AUGCCCAGCCUCCCCACAGCUGCAUGUUCUGAGGGGACACGUUCCGUUUUCAGUUCAGGUGGUGUAAUGGUGGUUUGGACUUACAGAAGUGAAUCUAUCUUCACAGCACUGAGUAAGGCACCUGGGACAACUGUCUGUCCAGCUCUUCAUACGAUGCAGCCUCAUCAAGCAGACACUUGUGUGCAUAAAGUGACUGCAUUGGAUUGCCUGCUUUCUAUACCUGAAUACCUCUUUACCUCAUAUACACCAAGCAUUUUAAGAGCAAGUUCAUAUAAAACUAGAUGUCCUCAGGAAAAGAGAUCUUUUGAAAGACUGAAAGAUGAGGCCUUGCAGAGCACGUUUUGUAUGUAA